UCCCAGGUGGUGCAGUGGUAAAGAACCUGCCUGCUAAGCAGGAGACUCAGGUUUGAUCCCUGAGUGGGGAA
This 71-nucleotide transfer RNA is filed under the name Bos taurus (domestic cattle). It matches the Rfam family "tRNA". Rfam says of the family: Transfer RNA (tRNA) molecules are approximately 80 nucleotides in length. The record is from Rfam by way of RNAcentral. Lineage: Eukaryota; Metazoa; Chordata; Mammalia; Artiodactyla; Bovidae. RNAcentral also lists the same sequence under 4 other names.